UACGAGUGCCUCGAGCGUUAUCCGGAAUCAUUGGGCGUAAAGGGUGCGUAGGCGGCGAUGUUAGUCUCGCGUUAAAUCUUUCGGCUCAACCGAGAGUCUGCGUGGGAAACGGCAUUGCUUGAGGACGGGAGAGGUUUCUGGAACUCAUAGUGUAGCGGUGAAAUGCGUUGAUAUUAUGGGGAACACCGAAAGCGAAGGCAAGAAACUGGCCCGCUCCUGACGCUGAAGCACGAAAGCGUGGGUCGCGAAUGGG
This 253-nucleotide ribosomal RNA is filed under the name uncultured bacterium. RNAcentral's name for it is "partial 16S ribosomal RNA". It matches the Rfam family "Bacterial small subunit ribosomal RNA", at positions 524 to 776 of the family's 1533-position model. The record is from RNAcentral.